Molecule: long non-coding RNA, 325 nt
Filed under: Mytilus galloprovincialis (Mediterranean mussel)
Lineage: Eukaryota; Metazoa; Mollusca; Bivalvia; Mytilida; Mytilidae
Source: RNAcentral
GGGUCAAUUUAUGCCGUAGCACAUAUCAACAUUUAAAAAUGCAUACUGAAGCUAUAUGAAAUAAAAAUUUGUGUCUUUUUCAUCAUUUCUAUACUCAGGUUACAUGAUACAAUACAUAAGAGCACAAAAGGACUCUUGAAUUCAACUUUGUUUGCAGACAGUAUGGUCAGAUUGAAAGAUUUUCCAAUUUUUAGUGAAAAACUGGCAUACAAUUUUAGUCCCAAUAGGCUUAUAUUUGAACCACUUGCUAUCCUACAGAAGAAAAGAAAGAUAUUAUGUGAAAUGAAACAGGUACAAAAGACAUUAUAAAGUGCUUUUUAUACAA